RNAcentral lists this long non-coding RNA (783 nucleotides) under Ananas comosus (pineapple). Its description in RNAcentral is "long non-coding RNA (ACOM_LNC019571)". The record is from RNAcentral. Lineage: Eukaryota; Viridiplantae; Streptophyta; Magnoliopsida; Poales; Bromeliaceae.
AAAAGAGUAAUUAGUAACAUAAUUAAAUAUAUCUAAUUAUAACUAGUAUUAUCUAUUAUAUUAUUUUAUUAAUUUUUCUUUCACCUUUUUUUACCAUAAUUGAUUUCGGCUCAAGUUAUGGGCCAAAAUUAAUUAUGCUUUUUCGGGUAACUCGAGUUUCGACCGUAUUUUUAUUACGGCAAAUCAAAUUUACGGUCGAAAAUAACUUUAACCUUUUCCAUUUUUACCCAAGCAAACAAGCCUAUAGCGGCUUCCCCAGUUGAAUUGCAUGUUGACAAUCUUGGCAUUAAAUUUUAUUAUAAAGCAUUAAUUUAGGAAGUGUUCAAAAUUUACAUAAUAAAUAGUUUUUUUCAAAAAAUAUCAAAUACGUUUAGAGUUGUCAACGGGUCGGAUUCGGGGCGGAUUAUUAAAAAUCCGAAUCCGAACCUGACUCCAAACCCGAGAUCCGAGCCUGAACCCGAACCCGAAAAUUUGAAUCCGAAACAAUUAUUUCUUUUUUCAAUAUUUCAAAAUAUAUUAUAUUAAAUCUUAAUUUUUAAAAUAUAAAUUCAAAUAUAAUAUCAAAUUUUUAUAUAUAUAUUAUAUAUAAUACAAAAUAAAUUCGGGUUCGGAUCGGGUACGGUCAAAAUCCAUAUCCGAAUCCAUAUCUGUCGGGUUUCUAUUUUUGAUAUCCAUAUCCGAAUUCAUAUCCAUUUAGCAUCGAAUAUAUCCGUUUUAUUCGGGCUUGGAUUCGGAUUCGAAUAAAAUUUCGAAUAUUCGUAACUAUUGACGUCCCUAAAUAUG